CCUACGGGGGGCAGCAGUGGGGAAUAUUGGACAAUGGGCGAAAGCCUGAUCCAGCCAUGCCGCGUGUGUGAAGAAGGCCUUCGGGUUGUAAAGCACUUUCAGUGGGGAAGAAAGCCUUGGGGCUAAUACCCUCGAGGAAGGACAUCACCCACAGAAGAAGCACCGGCUAACUCCGUGCCAGCAGCCGCGGUAAUACGGAGGGUGCGAGCGUUAAUCGGAAUUACUGGGCGUAAAGCGCGCGUAGGCGGUCUGAUAAGCCGGUUGUGAAAGCCCCGGGCUCAACCUGGGAACGGCAUCCGGAACUGUCAGGCUAGAGUGCAGGAGAGGAAGGUAGAAUUCCCGGUGUAGCGGUGAAAUGCGUAGAGAUCGGGAGGAAUACCAGAGGCGAAGGCGGCCUUCUGGACUGACACUGACGCUGAGGUGCGAAAGCGUGGGUAGCAAACAGGAUUAGAUACCCUAGUAGUC
RNAcentral lists this ribosomal RNA (465 nucleotides) under Vreelandella stevensii. RNAcentral's name for it is "partial 16S ribosomal RNA". It matches the Rfam family "Bacterial small subunit ribosomal RNA", at positions 338 to 795 of the family's 1533-position model. The record is from RNAcentral. Lineage: Bacteria; Pseudomonadati; Pseudomonadota; Gammaproteobacteria; Oceanospirillales; Halomonadaceae.